UACAGAGGUCUCAAGCGUUGUUCGGAUUCAUUGGGCGUAAAGGGUGCGUAGGCGGCGCGGUAAGUCGGGUGUGAAAUCUCGGGGCUUAACUCCGAAACUGCAUUCGAUACUGCCGUGCUUGAGGACUGGAGAGGAGACUGGAAUUUACGGUGUAGCGGUGAAAUGCGUAGAUAUCGUAAGGAAGACCAGUGGCGAAGGCGGGUCUCUGGACAGUUCCUGACGCUGAGACACGAAGGCCAGGGGAGCAAACGGG
This 253-nucleotide ribosomal RNA is filed under the name uncultured bacterium. RNAcentral describes it as "partial 16S ribosomal RNA". It matches the Rfam family "Bacterial small subunit ribosomal RNA", at positions 524 to 776 of the family's 1533-position model. The record is from RNAcentral.